UUAAAAGAAAAACUGAAUCGGACAAGAGGGCCUCACUCCUCACCCGAGUCCAAGUCUCAUUUGUGGACUCCACUUCAUCGCGUCACACCCCAAUGAUGAACUACUCGACAAUCGAGACCUCUAGUCCUGGUCUGACUCAUCCUCUGAUUUCUCACAACCUGAAAAGGUGAAUGGCUAGUGGACCUUGUUACUUAUGGGGCUAGGGUGGACGAAAGACUCCCUCGAUGGCAAGCUUCUCCAUGGCUCAGUUUGAAUCCUCCAUGAUCGAGUGAGGCUUCCUCAAGGACUUUGCUUUGCCACGUG
RNAcentral lists this long non-coding RNA (303 nucleotides) under Hordeum vulgare. Its description in RNAcentral is "long non-coding RNA (HVUL_LNC021276)". The record is from RNAcentral. Lineage: Eukaryota; Viridiplantae; Streptophyta; Magnoliopsida; Poales; Poaceae.